Molecule: ribosomal RNA, 510 nt
Filed under: uncultured bacterium
Lineage: Bacteria
Description: bacterial SSU rRNA
Rfam family: Bacterial small subunit ribosomal RNA
Source: RNAcentral
GAUGAACGCUAGCGGCAGGCUUAAUACAUGCAAGUUGAGGGGCAGCAUGAUAUACGCGAGUAUAUUGAUGGCGACCGGCGGACGGGUGAGUAAUAGGUAGGAGACCUACCUCAUACAGGGGGAUAGCAUAGAGAAAUCUGUGGUAAUACCCCAUGAGGUUAUAUGAAUAGAGGCAUAUAAUCAAAGCAUAAGCGAUUAUGCGGUAUGAGAGGGGCCUACUGACCAUUAGCUAGUUGGUGAGGUAAGGGCUCACCAAGGCGAAGAUGGUUAGGGGUUUUGAGAGAGAGACCCCCCACAUUGGAACUGAGAGACGGUCCAGACUCCUACGGGAGGCAGCAGUAGGGAAUAUUGGGCAAUGGGCGAAAGCCUGACCCAGCCAUGCCGCGUGCGGGAUGAAGGCCCUACGGGUUGUAAACCGCUUUUCCCCGGGAAGAACUAAGGCCCCCCGCGGGGGUGAGUGCCGGUACGGGGAUAAGGAUCGGCUAACCCGUGCCAGCAGCCGCGGUAAAC